CCUACGGGAGGCAGCAGUGAGGAAUAUUGGUCAAUGGACGCAAGUCUGAACCAGCCAUGCCGCGUGCAGGAAGACGGCUCUAUGAGUUGUAAACUGCUUUUGUACGAGGGUAAACGCAGAUACGCGUAUCUGUCUGAAAGUAUCGUACGAAUAAGGAUCGGCUAACUCCGUGCCAGCAGCCGCGGUAAUACGGAGGAUUCAAGCGUUAUCCGGAUUUAUUGGGUUUAAAGGGUGCGUAGGCGGUCGGAUAAGUUAGAGGUGAAAUCCCGAGGCUCAACUUCGGAAUUGCCUCUGAUACUGUUCGGCUAGAGAGUAGUUGCGGUAGGCGGAAUGUAUGGUGUAGCGGUGAAAUGCUUAGAGAUCAUACAGAACACCGAUUGCGAAGGCAGCUUACCAAGCUACUUCUGACGUUGAGGCACGAAGGCGUGGGGAGCGAACAGGAUUAGAUACCCCGGUAGUC
This 460-nucleotide ribosomal RNA is filed under the name uncultured bacterium. Its description in RNAcentral is "partial 16S ribosomal RNA". It matches the Rfam family "Bacterial small subunit ribosomal RNA", at positions 338 to 795 of the family's 1533-position model. The record is from RNAcentral.